Long non-coding RNA from Drosophila obscura, 1251 nucleotides. RefSeq lists it as uncharacterized. The transcript is spliced from 2 exons. The record is from RefSeq and is a predicted model, not a curated record. Lineage: Eukaryota; Metazoa; Arthropoda; Insecta; Diptera; Drosophilidae.
ACAAUUUCAACAAGAUCAAAAUACAAAUCUUAUUCUAUAAGUUUAACAGAAAAUGGUUUGGUUCUUAUUGAUACAUGAGUUUAGCUACGACUAGUGCUGCAAAAACAUCGAUGUUAACAUCGAUGUCAUGGAUGUUUUUAUACUUGUGCGAUGCAUCGAUGUUUUUUUUGUAUCAUCGAUGUUUCACUGUAUUCACUGACAUAAGGCAUUUAUUUGGUUUGUUCCAGUCCCACCUCAGCGAUAGAUUGUCAAGGGCUGAGUCCAAGGUUUUCCAAGGAGACUAUGGUGUAGGACAGUAUCGGUGAGAGCGAGAUUCCGUUACUGAAGAAAAGAAGGAAGACGAUAGGAUUAGUUAGGUGUAUUGGUAAAGGCAGGCAUGCGUGAGAGGGAUUAAAUAGGAGUGAAACAAAUCUAAAACGUGGGCAUAAGAAUUGCUGGUCAUCCGAAGCGGAGGUACUAAUUAAUAGCAGAGCUAGAAUCUAGGCCGAGUGGGGUUAAACCCGAUUAGUGGAAUUUUCAAAAACCUGGCCCGGAAGAUUGCCCAGCGCAGCCGAGUCAGUGAUUUUGCCCGAGGGAGAUAAUUUCUGGAGAGGAUGUGCCAGAUGAGCCGACCGUCGAAACCAAAUUGUGAGUCCGUUCCGUGCCUGUUAUUUUGAGCCGUGUAUGAAGCCGAGAUUUGUGAGGGGUGCAUGUCUAACCAGGUCAAACGAACGAUCCGCGCAGAGUGACCAAGGACCGUGCCGCAGACGCAGUGGUACACGUAGUCCGAGCCGUUGGACUCUGCCGGAGCCACCUCUACGAUCACCUAAGGAUUUGCACUCACGUUUGCACUCACGUUUACACUCAAUUUUGCACCUACAUAUUGGCAGAUCGACGAUCGCCCACAGUACAUAUAUUUUUUUUGGGAAUUGUUCCUCACACUCCUCGCAAGCCGUUACGGACACAUAUGUGCCCGACAGUAUUCGUAUUGUCCAUCGUGUUGUCCCUAUUAUAUGUGUUAAUUGUUAUUUAUUAGUAAUUUAAGCAAACCCUAACGUAAAAAAACACUUUUGUAAACGCCAAACAUUGGCGCCGACAUAGACACAAAACAAAACAUAUGGUAGGAUUAACCCUUGUGCGCGGCGCGGGGUCCCACAAGCCCACCGUUUUGGUGAAAUAUUGUUUGGUAAUUUUUGUUGUCGAUGGCCUUGUUUAUAUCUGCCCCUAUGACCCUUAACAAGAGCUCUUGGUAGGUUAGUCUCGGGAGGGCCC